Molecule: ribosomal RNA, 501 nt
Filed under: uncultured Oscillibacter sp.
Lineage: Bacteria; Bacillati; Bacillota; Clostridia; Eubacteriales; Oscillospiraceae
Description: bacterial SSU rRNA
Rfam family: Bacterial small subunit ribosomal RNA
Source: RNAcentral
AGAGUUUGAUCCUGGCUCAGGACGAACGCUGGCGGCGUGCUUAACACAUGCAAGUCGAACGGAGCGCCUAUGAAGGAGAUUUCGGUCAACGGAAUAGGUUGCUUAGUGGCGGACGGGUGAGUAACGCGUGAGGAACCUGCCUUUCAGAGGGGGACAACAGUUGGAAACGACUGCUAAUACCGCAUAACACAUAGGUGCCGCAUGGCAUUUAUGUCAAAGAUUUAUCGCUGAAAGAUGGCCUCGCGUCUGAUUAGCUAGUUGGUGAGGUAACGGCUCACCAAGGCGACGAUCAGUAGCCGGACUGAGAGGUUGGCCGGCCACAUUGGGACUGAGAUACGGCCCAGACUCCUACGGGAGGCAGCAGUGGGGAAUAUUGGGCAAUGGGCGCAAGCCUGACCCAGCAACGCCGCGUGAAGGAAGAAGGCUUUCGGGUUGUAAACUUCUUUUGACAGGGAAGAGUAGAAGACGGUACCUGUCGAAUAAGCCACGGCUAACUACGUG